UGAGCCGCAGCUGGUCCUCAACACCCCCUUACCCACAGACCUGGUUAUGCUGCACCACAGCACAUGGAAUAGGAUCAUGUGCAUUUUGAGCAGCCAUGCAGGAGGGGAUAUUUGUACUAACCCGAAAGCCAAAUUGGAUCAGUUAAUUCUUCAUGUUGCAUUGUUAAAAACUAAUCCGACAGUAUAUUGUUGUCAAAGAGGACAUGUGCUUUUUUUCAGUUUUCCAUUUCCUCUAUUGUGCUUUAUAGAUUUUUUUGAGAACGUCAAAGAUCUCCAUAAUUAGGAAACCCAAAAUCCGCAGUUAGGGGAACUCCUCUCCUCUGCAGAAAAAACUCUGACCCUGAAGCCUCUGAAACACCUCCUCAGCAGUCUGGACAUUAUUUUUGCGUUGCUCCACAGCAACCAGGGACCAUUCAAAAAGGCACAAGGACAAGGUACUCAACACUUCAUUGCUUUCAAAGUGACCCUGAGGCAAUGCUAUUGGAGGCCAAUGGACUGAUGGGCAGUGGACAUAGUUUUGUUACCAAGUUGUCAAAAAUAAGCUCCUUUAGCCAGAGUGCAGGCAGAUGUCUUGUUGCCAGGUGAAGCCAAGGACCUCAUCAUCCUUCUCCUGUCAAAGAAGAAUGCGAAGCGCCUGGGCACAGGGGUUGGUGCCACUCGUGGUUUUCCUAAUUGAACCUUCCACUCUGCCAGACUCUGCCAUCAAUAACAUCUACCCCGCCGCUCCCUCCGUUCCCCUCACCCAGUCAUCUGACCUCUUAGCGAUAAGAGCCGCCUCUCAUCCCCCCCCCCACCUCUCCUCAAGAUUGACAAGCUGACACACCAUCUCUGAGGUCGGCCGGGCUAAUUGGUUUGCGCACAUCUUAGAUGGACCAUUAGGCCUCACAACUACUAAACUAAAAACAUCUCUCUCCCCUCUCUCUCUCUCUCUCUCUCUCUGUCGCUCUCUUUCUCUUUUUGAGGGUGGCUGAUGGAGGCGGCGAUAAUGGUCCAGCGAGGAGUAAUAACGUUCCAGUGCAAUCUGCGGCUCACAUAUGUUGUAAGCUGAAAUGAUUGGCUGUUUAAUCUUUUUGGGUCUUUCUCUCUUUUAUCUCCUGCACGGCUCACAGGGAGUGUAGCGUGGUGGAUUGGGGGAGUUGGCCGUGAGUGGCUGUGAAUGGAAGCAAAGCCGGCUUUUAUUCACUGUAAGUUUGGAUUCGUGGUAAAAUAUAGGAAUUCAAAUGUUGAUAUUGCCUUCACAACAGGGACGUGUGUGUAUCCUGCUGUAAUCAUCCUGCCCACGGUAACUGUUACUUUACUGCAGCUAACAGAGGAAAGAAAGAAAUACUUACAAACUACUCCCACUAACUACAACCUCAAUCAGCAUCGGAGGUUUUCCCAAAGCCAUCUUUACCGUGCAUCAAUAUUUUUUUAAAUUACAGUAAUUUGUUGAGGUGCACUUCAGCUACAGUGCAGCUACAGCAGGUACAUGCACCAGCUCGGCCCUGUCCUCUUAUGCAUGAAGCCUAUCUUGCUCAAGUUAAGGGAAAUUCUGGUUUCAUUCAAUCUUGGUCUAAUUUUUUUUGUAGUUUCAUACAUACUUACCCCUCAGUAAUAAUAAAAAAAUAACAUUAAACUUAAUUGCUGAGAUCUGUGAGCAAAACGACACACAGUCACAAGCAACUCUACCACAUUUUCCUAAAUGUCUGUUGGAAACAUCUCAGUUUAAAGACGAACACAGUUAAAUUGCCAAGAUUUUGUUUUAUGUUAAAGAUAUAAUAUAACAACUCUUCAUUAAAAUGCCUAAAAAUUACUGGACUUAGGUUAAAUAUCUUGUUGACUUGUGUGCUCAUAUUAUCCAGAAUGUCAAACCCAGACUUUAUUCAAGGUAACUGCUUGUUUCCUUUUUGUUGCUUUUUAUUUGUGUCAUAUCCACUUAUACAUUACCUCAUCCACGAUGAUCAUUUGCAUCUGCAGUGCAUAGGUGAAGACAACAACUCCCAUGACCCCUCGCUGCUUCACAUUGUCAUCAAACUAGGUCUGUAGUUAUAAUUUUUGAUUGCGAGAUUGUCAGAUAAUUUGACUCAUCUUUUUUUUUUAUCAUCUUUACAUCUUUACUAAUACCCUGCUUGUUCCUUGCUGUGUUGGACAUUGUUGUAAUGAACAUGUUCAUAGAGUAGCCGGCAAUGACUUUGACAGAAAAAGUGGCAAAAAGUGCAAAAAUGAAGACACAAAUUGUGGUAAACCCAGAAUUUCACACUAAGUGGGGUUUCAGCUGGCGAAAGAUUCAAUCGACUCUAUUGGAGGCAGGCGAGUGAGACACAUGCAUACAAAGCACAAAAGACUACUACUCAGGCAUUCCCUCUGGCAAACACAGCCAUAACAGUGAGGGUUAUUAUCUGUGACAGGCUGCCACUGACCAAUGGUGCCCUGUCACCGGCUGUCUGACUUGUACCUGGUGGCACAAAAAGAAACACCUCUCUCCUCGGCCCAAUCUGUUGCCUCACACAGCAGGCAAAUGGAGCAGGACAUCUACUGUUGCUGCCUCCACGCUUAAUGUGUACAAGAGUGACUCGGCUAACUGAUUAAACUAAUAAGUCGACACUGUUUCCUGGUUAUAGCGGUUAGACGCGUCAAAAUCCUGACGCCGGAGCUGUGGCAACCUGUGCCAACUUUAUAGUGGUUUUACAAGGGUACGCCGCUGGUACGUACAGGUGAGCCUGUGUAUAUUCAACUCACCCUCAGUUCCACAUCAAAGACGAAUAAUGCUGCACUCCAUCACCCCCACCCUGCCUCUCUCUCUCUAUCUCUCUCUCCCCCCUGGUCAUCCACCUCGGCCCGUCAGGCAGCUGUAGCCUGUAAUUGGGAGUGGAGCCUUACAGGCCGUGUAGUGGACGGCUCAGCGGAGACUGCAAGAGUCAAUUACCAGAGCUGACAGUGCCGCGGAGAGAAAGGUACACCAGACACACUGUAGCAAUCUGUCUGAGCAGGAUGAGGGAGACAGAGGGUGUGUGCUAAUGUGACGCCAACACGCUACACGUCUCACCUCGUGGUAACACUGACAGCUGUGGCAUAUUACUUACGUGCAGUGUUUUGGACACAUGGCCCAGAAAGGCUGAAGCUGCUAACAUAUGGCCGUUCCUGUCAGAAAAUCCAAUUAGCUCCAACGCUGUUGACUAACACAUUGAUAUAACAUGACUCAUCAUUGCAUAUGUGUGUUUUUUUUUUCUCUUAUCACAUGACGUGUUUUUCAGUGUUCGACAGGAGACAACAGGUAUUUGAUAGAAUUAAAAAAAACGUAUCUCAGUGCCGCUGCUCCCUCGUCUUCAGAAUGAAUUAAAUGUGUCAAUGAUUGAAACAGCGGCAUCAUUUUAAUCAAAGACGAUCCCAGGAACCCCUGCUUCAUUUUGCUCCCAUCACAGCUGACAGAAUUUGAUUCAUGAGGUCUUCAUUCUCCACGCUCGCAGACAGGAAUGUGAAUGUGAAGCUCGGCUCUCGCCGGUCGCUCUGACGUCUUCUUCUCCGUCUAGAUUCUGCUUCCUUUCUGAUGCUGUGUCUCAGUAUCUUUAUUUAAUUUUCCCUUACCUUGUUUUCUGCUAGACUACACAUUUAUUGUGAAGACAAUACAAAAAAAACUGUUUAUUUAGACUUUCAGAUGGUGCAGAGCUUUCAGUUCCUUCAAAUCCUCAGUGAACAUCCAACCGUUUAUCUGGAUCAAAGAUAUGAAAAUGGUCCACUGGACCAAAGCGCUGUUAUUUCAUCACUGACAACAAAAGCUUCAUGUUGCACUGUAAUUGUGCAUUUAUUCUGUGUGGGUUUUGGAUUUGUGCAAGCAGGCCCUUGGGUCUAUUGGUUUCUAUUUGUUUUAUAUUCUCUUUUAAAUGUUACCAUGUACUGACAGACUAAACACACGUUGUCAUCAUUCUUACAUUGUGCCAAUAAUACAUCACCUAUUAACUUUAAUGAAACUUUAAUGAUGUGCUAGAGCAGUGGCUUGCAUGCAACACUACAAAUGCAUGAAGCAGAAAUUUAAAAUCAGACGGCGUAAUUAAACAGAGUGAUUCAAGAACACAAGGGAGCACAUAGGUAAUGUCGAUUAGCAACCGAUCUCCUUCCCCAGACCUUACAUCUGAUUUCUGAAGACAGCUAUCGGUGAAAGGAGCAAGCGUCUGUUUUUUAUGGGUCGCUGACUCGAUUGUUACCGGCUGAUCUGCUGUAAAACCUAUUCAGCCUUCACCAAUUUAAAACAAAUGUUUAAAUGUUGCCUUUAGAACUAUGGUUGAAGCAAAAAAACACUUUUACAUUAACUUUUUUGAAAUAUCACAUUAGAUCAAAGGUGGAAAAAUGUCCUAGUGGUUAGCGCCGUCUCCUCGCAGCCAGAAGGUUUCAGCUGAAAACCUCCGGGGCGGCCAGGGCCUUUCUGUGUAAACAUGUUAUCUCCGUGUCUGCGUGGGUUUUCUCCGGCUUCCAUUUACAACCCAGAGACAUUCAGCUUAAGUUAAGUGAGAACUCUCAAUUGUCCUCGGGUGAGAAUUUGAGCCUGAGUGAUUGUCUCUGUAUUUGCUGGCGAGCCAUGGGGCAGCCUGUCUAAACACCCAAUGUUAGCUGGGACUGAAGAUCGAUUGAAGAAACCUGCAAAGUAUUGGCUGUAUUGAUAAUAGAUGGUAAUACAUUUGAGAUUAAGAUGUGUGGUACAAGUUAUCUAAUAUCACAAAGCAGUUAAUCUCUAUGAACAGAUUGUGCAUGUGAAUAUGCAAAAUAUGUGCGUAGGUGAGAGAAAAUCUUUUGGGGUGGGAAGUCUUCUGGUUUGUUAUUAUCUGUUGGUCUGUUUCCCCCAUCCCUUUGUCUUUUGUUUGACUCUCUCUCUCUCUCUCUCUCUCUCUCUCUCUCUCUCUCUCUCUCUCUCUCUCUCUGUCUCCUGGAGAUAAACGUUUUGAUCCAGCGUUUUGUAAAUAAAAACACUCUUGUUUCACUUAGAAAACAAAUUUGUCUGUGUCCGCCUUUUGGAGCCGAUUUGUCUGAUGUAUCACAACAUGGUUCUGCUUUGGUUUAACCAAUCACGUUUGAGCAAGCUUUGGUUGCCUGCAGGUAAAAAGUCCACGUGAAGAGCAAAAGACAUUGAAAUGCAUUGGCUGUCAGCUUUUUAAUUUAUCUACAUUCAUAUGCAGAUAGCUGUUGAUUAGAGAUUAGUCAAACUGUUGUCUGGACCUAAAACAACUAUAAAAAGAGACAGUGUUUGGAGAAACAUGCGACCCGUACGAUGAAAGAAAGUAGUCAGACUGUUAAUGGUGAACAGAAGAGAGAGUCUUGGCCCUGAUUUCCACUGUCUACACCGGAAGUCCCCAAAUAUUGGUUGUUGCCCCCUGAGGCUAAUUUGUCAUCAGACAUUAGCCGAUUGGCUGCGAGAUUGCAAAGCACGUGACUUGACCCACAUAAAACUUAAAAAUAUGCUCCUGCUCACAACAACAGCACAUUUGGUGGCAUUUCUCUUGUAGAGUUAUUUUACUGUUUGAGUGGAUGAGAUGAAUUGUUCUGCCAUUACAACGAGGUCUGAUUAACUGAGAGUCGUAGCAUUAUGCAGUCAGUAACCAACGAGCUGAUAUGUUGGUUUUUAAUGACAAAUAUAUGCAUAGGGAUCCUUUGAUUUGCAUAUUGCAGCGAGCAAUCAGAGUCUGUGCAGGAACGUGAACUAAUUUAUUUUUCACAGUGAGAUGCUGCUGUCAGGACUGGGGAAGCUUUGCCUCAUGAAAUCUGAUAAACUACUGUUUUAAUAUGAUAAUGGAUCAAAGUAAAUGUGGGGCGACUGGAGUCCUGUGUGAGCACCGGUCUCUAGAAUACAGUGCUUGCUGGAAAUGUAUCUUUGCAUUCAUGAGUCUUGUGGGUUUUAAUUGUGUUAGAAGAGGUGUGUAGGGAGCUAUUAAACUCUGUGGUCUUCACACACAGUGACACAGUAAACACGAUCCAUAGUGGCAAUUUCAUGCCUAACUUGAAUUUCCCUAUAUUCAACAUUGAUACUGAACUUUUAAUGACUCUUAACCUCUCUAUUUUAAUUCUCUGCAUGAAAAAUAUCUCAGAUAGAUAAGUGGUGACACUGAUCAGAUUAGUUUUGCCGCAGCCCAGGAAUGAUCUCACCAGGAUUAAGACUAGUGGAAUGUGAUGAACAGAUUACCUGAACACCUGGAUUGCUCAAACCAUUAAUCAGAUUAUCCGUGUACGAAACCAUCAGUUCCCCGCUAAUGCGUCAGAAUCCAGCAGGCAGGUGCAGCAAGGCACAGGAAAGAUCCAACAAAACCCAAGCAUCAUAUACAGAGCUGAGAGUGUUGUUGAGAUGGUAAAAAGUGAAAGUGCAUAGACCCUAAGGGUUUCAGUGUGUAGGAUUUAGUGACAUCUAGUGGUGAAGUUGCAUGUUGCAGCUGAAUGCCCCAGUUGUCAUAAAAACUCAAAAGGUCUUUAGUUUGUCCAGUUUGGGCUACGGUAAAAAACAUGGCGUAGACAGGACCCGCUUCCGAUGUAGAUAUAAAGUGUUUAAAAAUAAAGGGCUCAUUCUAGGGUAACGAAAACAUCACUUGGACUAUUUUAUAUUGAAUUUCUGCCAAUAGAUCCCUGUCACCUAAAUCUUACACACUGCACCUUUUAAUGUACUUUUGUAAAAGUGACAAUGGGAUGAUGUAAUGAUAGUUGAAAGAAUUUAGUUUAAAGUUUUGUGUUUACUUAAAAAUCAGACGUUUAUUUCGAAAAUUCUGCUAAAGUGGCCACAGAUGUAGGUUGUGACACAGUUUGCACACACAUACCCAUUGUGGGUAUAGAGGGGGAGUCGAGUGAACGUGAGAAGGUUUCACUUGUCUUCACAGUUCACCUUCCAGAUGUGUAGCAGGGAAAUGGUGGUCCAGAGAUUGUAAACGCCCCCACAAAGUUUCCAACAAGCUUUCAGUGGUUAUUGAAUGCACGCUGGUGUGAAGUGUGAUUUCUCUAAACAAAGACAUGCAGAUAUGUCGUCAACUCUUUACCUCUGUUACUUUUCACACCUCUAGAGAAAUGUGGUGGGUGUGUGGUGGCAAGACAUCUGACACUUCGGGGGAGGCUGCCUCAUAUUUCAAAUGUGUAGGAAGUUUAGUGGUUUUUUUCUAAUAUUUAUUUAUUGACUUAUUAAGUGUGAGAGUCGCCUGAGCUGCCAGGGGAGCUUGUGGACGCCCGUGAUGUUUUUAAAUUGUGAAUUAUCACCUUAGAGAUUUUUCCAGAAUAUUGUGUGAUAUGCAAAGCUAUAACAUUUGAAAUCUGGUUUAAUUUAAAUUAGUCUACAGUUUUUUUUCAUGAAAUUUAACAUGAUUUUAGCUUCAUUACUUGUUUUGUUCACGUCCAUCACAUUUUACGCACAGUCAUUUCUAACUUUGCUAAGAGUCAAAACUAAAAUGUUGUGCAUGGUAAACACUAAGCGUGUUAACAUUGUUACUGUGAGCAUGUUAGCACACUGACAUUCGCAUUCAGCAUGAAAGGAGAUGAAACAAUCUUUUCUUAAAUGGUUUUGCUGUUUUUUUUUAUUUCAAAACUAAUUCCACACAUGUGCUACCGUACUAUUUCAUUCUAUGUUUCCUCAACAGUAGUGUGUCAUCCCGGUGGUGAUGUCCUCGUUCAAAGAGUUCACUGGUCUCAUUUAGGCCCACGACAAACCAGUGGAGCCCUCUGAGGUCGUUUUGCCACAUAUGAGCUGUGACCAAUCGGAUUCACCAUGCUCGUGUAAUGACAUCGCUCAUCCCGUGCCCUUGAGCUACUGCCGCUGACUUGUGCGUGCCAAAUGAGAUUUUUCUCCAACCUCUCGAAAUACAUUUUCCCUCCGCUGUGUCCCCGAUCUGAUAACAUUGUAGAGGAAAAUUUAUGUCAAGCCCUUGAUGGAGCUAAAUGUAAAUGUCUUUUUGAGGCAGUGUUGAAUUUUGGGUUUGUUUUUUUAUCUGUCUGAGGUGAAUUAAAGGUUUUUUUUGUUGUUUUUUUCCUGACCCCAAACCUUCAUCUACACAUUUACAAGCUGUAGUGGUUCAUUUGUCACAACCCUCUCCUCUCAUUGUGACAGGGAGUGCAGACGCAUAAAUAUGUCUUAAACUACUGGAUCCUAUUAGCGGAGUGCUGUGCUGCUGGAGUGCCAUUACAGCCGCUGCUCUUUGAGGUGGAAAGCAGUGAUCAACAGAAAUGAAAUGGCUGCACUGUCAACAGAGAGCUCAGAUGAAUCUGGGACAAAGUAAUGAACACUGCCAGAGCUGCGUGACA
Hippoglossus stenolepis (Pacific halibut) is the source of this 8238-nucleotide long non-coding RNA. RefSeq lists it as uncharacterized. Lineage: Eukaryota; Metazoa; Chordata; Actinopteri; Pleuronectiformes; Pleuronectidae. The record is from RefSeq and is a predicted model, not a curated record. The transcript has 4 exons.